This 362-nucleotide ribosomal RNA is filed under the name uncultured bacterium. RNAcentral's name for it is "bacterial SSU rRNA". It matches the Rfam family "Bacterial small subunit ribosomal RNA", at positions 28 to 396 of the family's 1533-position model. The record is from RNAcentral.
GACGAACGCUGGCGGCGUGCUUAACACAUGCAAGUCGAGCGGAAAGGCCCUUCGGGUACUCGAGCGGCGAACGGGUGAGUAACACGUGAGUAACCUGCCCUGGACUUUGGGAUAACCCUCGGAAACGGGGGCUAAUACCGAAUACGACUUUUCCUCGCAUGAGGUUUGGUGGAAAGUUUUCGGUCUGGGAUGGGCUCGCGGCCUAUCAGCUUGUUGGUGGGGUGAUGGCCUACCAAGGCGACGACGGGUAGCCGGCCNGAGAGGGCGACCGGCCACACUGGGACUGAGACACGGCCCAGACUCCUACGGGAGGCAGCAGGUGGGGAAUAUUGCACAAUGGGCGGAAGCCUGAUGCAGCGACG